RNAcentral lists this unclassified non-coding RNA (805 nucleotides) under Hevea brasiliensis (rubber tree). The record is from RNAcentral. Lineage: Eukaryota; Viridiplantae; Streptophyta; Magnoliopsida; Malpighiales; Euphorbiaceae.
UUUGAAAUUCUGUAAGCCUUCCCUUCAAAAGGCAGAACUUAUCAUUAAUAAAAUAAGCAGAAUUUCCAUACAAAAGUGUUCUUAUGAGAUCUUCGGGUUAUCUUUGAAUGAGCCCUCAGUUAAUUCUUCACAAUAGGUUCCUCUAAGAAAGGCAGGAACGUGAAUAAGGGAAAGCCCAAGGCACUUGAGGCAAAUUUCCAGGUCCAUCAUCCAGUGACGAGAUCCAAUUCCAGGAAGCUUAACAAAGCACUUCACAUAUGACUUGGACAAUCCUCCUCCCACGAGGUGCCUUUUGAGAUGGAGUUAGGUCUAGUCCAUAUUAUCAACAAUAUCGAUACCACAUCAUGCAAUUGAUGGCAAUGAUAUACCCCUUUCACCUCAUCGUUUACUUGGAAACAAUUUGCGUAAGUCAGCCGAUCAUAGUUCAAUGCAUGAAAAGAGUUUCCAAGCACUAAUUUCAUUUCAUCAUCUCUUGUGCAGCUAAUAACAAUGAAUUUUCACAUUCAACAAGUGGAAGCUUCAAAAAGAAAGGCAACGUAUUCUGUAUGCAAUCAUAGUCAGAACCAUUUGACCACAAUUUAUGUGUACUAAGCAUAACUGAAAAAAGAAUAAGCUUUGGACUUGAACUCUUGAACUCAUCAUCAUAAAUAUCAAUCAGAUAUAGUCAAUAAUAUACUGAUCAGCUAUUGGCAUAUGUACCAUGUAGAAUGCAGGGUUCCGUAUGAUGGCCAAUAUUUGAUAUCAUUUCUUGGCAUAAGAUCCUAAGGGAAAACAAACUUACCUUUGUAAUAUACCAGUUGUCUUU